ACGGGUGAGGAAUACAUCGGAAUUUGCCCUGUCGUGGGGGAUAACGUAGGGAAACUUACGCUAAUACCGCAUACGACCUAACGGUGAAAGGGGGGGAUCGCAAGACCUCCCGCGGUUGGAUAAGCCGAUGUCAGAUUAGCUAGUUGGCGGGGUAAAGGCCCACCAAGGCGACGAUCUGUAGCUGGUCUGAGAGGAUGAUCAGCCACGCUGGGACUGAGACACGGCCCAGACUCCUACGGGAGGCAGCAGUGGGGAAUAUUGGACAAUGGGGGCAACCCUGAUCCAGCAAUGCCGCGUGUGUGAAGAAGGCCUUCGGGUUGUAAAGCACUUUUAUCAGGAGCGAAACACGUAAGGUUAAUAACCUUGCGGACUGACGGUACCUGAGGAAUAAGCACCGGCUAACUUCGUGCCAGCAGCCGCGGUAAUACGAAGGGUGCAAGCGUUACUCGGAAUUACUGGGCGUAAAGCGUGCGUAGGUGGUUUCUUAAGUCUGCUGUGAAAGCCCCGGGCUCAACCUGGGAAUUGCAGUGGAUACUGGGGAGCUAGAGUGCGGUAGAGGGUAGUGGAAUUCCCGGUGUAGCGGUG
RNAcentral lists this ribosomal RNA (585 nucleotides) under uncultured bacterium. RNAcentral describes it as "bacterial SSU rRNA". It matches the Rfam family "Bacterial small subunit ribosomal RNA", at positions 102 to 683 of the family's 1533-position model. The record is from RNAcentral.